This 276-nucleotide small RNA is filed under the name Prolemur simus (greater bamboo lemur). RNAcentral describes it as "7SK RNA (ENSPSMG00000003668.1)". Lineage: Eukaryota; Metazoa; Chordata; Mammalia; Primates; Lemuridae. The record is from RNAcentral.
GGAUGUCUGAGUGACCUGCCUAUGACAGCUGUCCCCACUGAUCCCUUGAAAUGAGUCACUUAAUCUGGCCAGAGGGACAGCUGCGUGAGUCCUCACUGCUCCAUGUACACCUAUCUUGAACUAUUCCCUCAAUUAAGGAGGAUAACAGUUCUUUAGCUAAGAAAGUGGGAGUCCUACUUCUUUGGGGGUCUAGCUCAAAAGUUGCUUUUCCAAUGAAACCUUUCCUGAAGUUUCGUCUAUAAUAGGAAACUGCAUUUAGUGAAUAUUUGUAGGUUC